This 1438-nucleotide long non-coding RNA is filed under the name Canis lupus familiaris (dog). Its description in RNAcentral is "lncRNA (ENSCAFG00000049139.2)". Lineage: Eukaryota; Metazoa; Chordata; Mammalia; Carnivora; Canidae. The record is from RNAcentral.
GCAUAAUAUAAUAUUAAGGAAAUACAUAUUUUACUGUAAGAGAAAAAGAACACUAGUAAUAAGUAAAAGCAGUUAAAGAAAAACCCUACGAUGUUAAAUUUGAGGUGGAAAGAUCAGUUUGAACUCAUGAUUGUUUUAAAAAUGAGUUUCCAGUUUCUGUUCGCUGACAGAUCUAGAAGCAAAAACAUUCCUGUAGCAGUGAACACACAUCACACUGUGUGCUCUUCUUUUCUAGCCGUCGUUCCCCACUAAGGGAGCCAGGACUCCUUGAAGACAUGGUUAUUUCUGGGUCUGGGGCUAAAAACAUACAGCAUGAGUCCUCUGCAGAGUAUCCUGUGGUGCCAAGGGAUGCGGGAGCUUACCUGAAAGACCUCCAUGGCUCGCUGUGGGACCACAUGAACACCAAAAGGGAUAAUGAGAGUGUCCACUUCGAACACAUUUUUUUAAAGAUUUUAUUUAUUUAUUCAUGAGAAACACAGAAAGAGAGAGAGGCAGAGACACAGGCAAAGGGAGAAGCAGGCUCCAUGCAGGGAGCCCGAUGUGGGACUCGAUCCCCGGUCUCCAGGACCAGGCCCUGGGCUGAAGGUGGCGCUAAACCGCUGAGCCACCCAGGCUGCCUCACAUUUUUUUUAAAUCCAUGAAUCCACAGUGAUUUUUUUUUUUUUUUUUUUUAGGGGAAAAAGAUGGGGUAAAUUCCAGCUCGUAAAUGUGGAAGGAAUCAAAGAAUGAACCACCACCGCUUGCAAUCAGGGCCCAACUGCUCUGGUCCUCCCUUGGGUCCCAGGACUGCACCACUGGGCUUGCUCUCCUCUGCCCUUGCUGUGGGAACCAGUCUGAAUUCUGCAACACAGGUAAGCAACAAACAAGUGCACCUUUCCUCAGGAAUUAGACUCUGGAGUCAGAGCCUCCCUGCUACUCUGCACUCGACAGCACGGGAGGCCGGGAGGCCAUGGACAUGGCCUGGAGCUGCUCAGUGUAGCCUCCUUGAUUGCAGAGUGGGGCUGGUGAUCAUGGUAGGGUUAUUGGGAGGAUUAGUCUUUCUCUUCCUCAAGAGAUGGCAACCUCCAGGUGGGCAAGAAACUUCCAUGUCUGUCACGGUCACCAUCCUAUCCUUAUAGGAUACACUUAAUGCUUGCACAUCCUCAGGCACUCCAAAAAAUAUAUUGACCCAAAUGAGCAAUAUUCAGAUGCUCUCCCACAAGAGGAAAAGGUGUGACCGUCCACUUUGGGUUGGAGGGAUCAUGCAGGGCUGUCAGGAUCUGUUAGAAGAUAAACUGAGGCAUAUUAAAAAUUGUAAGCAUGUAUGUGAGCAAAACUCAACUCAAAUCCAGCAGCACCAAACCAAAAGUGAUUAGGGGCCCUUAACUGGUCAGGGCCAUGGGAAAGGCAGAGAAAGUGCAGAAGCAAAGAUAGGAAAUUAUUUGAUUGAGUGUAGUUG